AUGGCUCAGGAUAAACGCUGGCGGCGUGCUUAACACAUGCAAGUCGAACGGAGUAAUCCUCCCGAAGACCUGACGAGCUUGCUCAGAUGGAAUUCAUUGGAUUACUAGUGGCGGACGGGUGAGUAACGCGUGGGUAACCUGCCCUAUACUGGGGGAUAGCAGUUGGAAACGACUGAUAAUACCGCAUAAGCGCACAGGACCGCAUGGUCUAGUGUGAAAAACUCCGGUGGUAUAGGAUGGACCCGCGUCUGAUUAGCUAGUUGGUGAGGUAACGGCCCACCAAGGCGACGAUCAGUAGCCGGCCUGAGAGGGUGUACGGCCACAUUGGGACUGAGACACGGCCCAAACUCCUACGGGAGGCAGCAGUGGGGAAUAUUGGACAAUGGGGGAAACCCUGAUCCAGCGAACCGCCGCGUGAGCGAUGAAGUAUUUCGGUAUGUAAAGCUCUAUCAGCAGGGAAGAUAAUGACGGUACCUGACUAAGAAGCACCGGCUAAAUACGUGCCAGCCGCCGC
This 514-nucleotide ribosomal RNA is filed under the name uncultured bacterium. RNAcentral's name for it is "bacterial SSU rRNA". It matches the Rfam family "Bacterial small subunit ribosomal RNA", at positions 19 to 518 of the family's 1533-position model. The record is from RNAcentral.